Molecule: non-coding RNA, 147 nt
Organism: Caenorhabditis elegans
Lineage: Eukaryota; Metazoa; Nematoda; Chromadorea; Rhabditida; Rhabditidae
Source: Ensembl
GCGGAAGAGAUAUAUGUGUCCCUCUUUGCUGUCCCCGCCUUCUUUUUUAUUCUUUCUUGUUGUUGUGCGGGGGAGGGGGGUAUCCCUUGACUUGUAUCAUCGCUUUUGCACUUUGUUAGCAACGAUCCCGACAGAGGGAAGGUCAAU